AUUGAACGCUGGCGGCAGGCUUAACACAUGCAAGUCGAGCGGGGGAAGGUAGCUUGCUACCGGACCUAGCGGCGGACGGGUGAGUAAUGCUUAGGAAUCUGCCUAUUAGUGGGGGACAACAUCUCGAAAGGGAUGCUAAUACCGCAUACGUCCUACGGGAGAAAGCAGGGGAUCUUCGGACCUUGCGCUAAUAGAUGAGCCUAAGUCGGAUUAGCUAGUUGGUGGGGUAAAGGCCUACCAAGGCGACGAUCUGUAGCGGGUCUGAGAGGAUGAUCCGCCACACUGGGACUGAGACACGGCCCAGACUCCUACGGGAGGCAGCAGUGGGGAAUAUUGGACAAUGGGGGGAACCCUGAUCCAGCCAUGCCGCGUGUGUGAAGAAGGCCUUAUGGUUGUAAAGCACUUUAAGCGAGGAGGAGGCUACUUUAGUUAAUACCUAGAGAUAGUGGACGUUACUCGCAGAAUAAGCACCGGCUAACUCUGUGCCAGCAGCCGCGGUAAUACAGAGGGUGCGAGCGUUAAUCGGAUUUACUGGGCGUAAAGCGUGCGUAGGCGGCUUAUUAAGUCGGAUGUGAAAUCCCCGAGCUUAACUUGGGAAUUGCAUUCGAUACUGGUGAGCUAGAGUAUGGGAGAGGAUGG
This 639-nucleotide ribosomal RNA is filed under the name Acinetobacter baumannii Naval-81. RNAcentral's name for it is "bacterial SSU rRNA". It matches the Rfam family "Bacterial small subunit ribosomal RNA", at positions 28 to 661 of the family's 1533-position model. Lineage: Bacteria; Pseudomonadati; Pseudomonadota; Gammaproteobacteria; Moraxellales; Moraxellaceae. The record is from RNAcentral.